Long non-coding RNA from Bos taurus (domestic cattle), 621 nucleotides. Lineage: Eukaryota; Metazoa; Chordata; Mammalia; Artiodactyla; Bovidae. The record is from Ensembl.
GACUACGUGUGUGGUGUGCUGAGCAGCUGGUCCCCAUCAGACCAGCCUCAAGCCUUUCCUAAGGAGGCUUUUGCUUCAGUCACAGCAGACCCUGUGUGGGGAUGGGUAACUCGGGAGGAGCGUUGCCUUGGCAACACAACGACUUAGGAGGGUGGUGCUGGUAACCAGGGCUGCUUUUGACCUUCACCAUCUUUCGGGCUGGUGGCUUUAUCAUUGCCUGCUCUGCUGCUGGGGUCUUCCCAAGUCUGUACUGAAAAGCCAGCCUCAGGGGAGGCCUUUGGCUACCCCCUUUCACCCACUUUCUCAUCUUAGAGGGCAUUGCCUUGAAUUACAUUUCACCAGAAGGUGCCACUUGAAAGCAUCUAAGCCAAAGCUGAGCCCCUGUUUGCCCUGGAUUUACCCUGUGGCUGCCACGCCAGGCCACCCCUGCUGCUCAUCCUGCAGCUAUAACCAGACAAGCAAGGUGACCUCCAGUUUCCAGAUGGAUCCAACGUAAAAGAUGGUGAAACAGCCUCAGCAUCACGUAUCCAGAGGAUCAAACACAGCACCUGUGAACUGCCUUCAGCAGUGCUCUGCAAACAGCACCUGUGAACUGCCCUCAGCAGCCCUCUUCUCCAGACC